Long non-coding RNA from Oncorhynchus keta (chum salmon), 1162 nucleotides. RefSeq lists it as uncharacterized. The transcript has 2 exons. The record is from RefSeq and is a predicted model, not a curated record. NCBI's taxonomy places the organism in Eukaryota, Metazoa, Chordata, Actinopteri, Salmoniformes, Salmonidae.
UCGCAUUCUUGUUAUGGAGAUUAUUAUAGCUUUCACAUCCACAAAUUAGAAUGCUUGGAAUUCGAUGAAGACAGAUAACAUAAGUGUCUUAAAGCAGAAUGCUUUGAACAAAAAUAGGUAUAAGGUCCUUAUCUCCAAACACUAUAUGGCUGUCCUCCUUUCUGUGAAAGCGGCGGGCCUAGUGCUGCAGGAUGAAAACAUUCCAAUACUGCUCUACAUCAGGUAGGUUUCUUGAACAUCAAGUUGCUUCACGUCUACAGGCAUUGUAUACCAGUCAUUAAAACCACUUAAUAGGGAUGAAAGGGUUACCGGUUUCACGAUAAACCACGGUAAAAACCCAGACGAUUAGUAUUAGCGUUUAAUCUAUUUAAUUAUCAUUAAAACCAUGUUUGAUUACCUCGGUUUCAAAAACUCACGGUAAAUACUGUCCAGCAUCAACCAAAGUUAGCAACAGUCUGCAACGUGGGUUUUGUUUUGUGUCAAAACAUGACGGAAGGCAAUGACAGCACUCGGGAGAUUUUUCAGCAUUCUAAGAGGACCAAAUCUGAAGUGUGGUCGUAUUUUGGGUUUUACAAGAGUGCUGAGGGAAACAUAAUCGAAGAUGGUCACCCUAUCUGCAGAACACGCAAAAAAAGUAUUAAAUCACUGCGAAAGGGGGUAACACUUCAAAUCUCUUCAUGACCACCACCCACUACUUUAUAGCGAACGCAAGAGUGGGUGUGCGGCAGGCAAACCCAGUGAUGCUACUGGUCCCUUGUCAUCUACAGUUGUGACACAGACACUCCAGCAAACAUUUAAAAGGCAGGCUGCUUAUGUACCCACAUCAAAAAAAUACUCAAGACCUCACCGCAGCCCUAUAAUAUCACAUCGAAAAGGACAUGAUGCCAUUUCAAACUGUUGAGAGGCCUGGCUUUCUGAGGCUGAUGAAGGUUGCCGUGGCUCACUACAAAGUGAGCGCUGCUAAUUGUGUUUGUUGUUUGUUUAUUUGAUGUGCUUACUCAAGGUUGUGUUCAUUUCAACCUGCACUAGGGAAACUUACCUCAUGGCCACAUGGUGCCAUCUUUAAUGUUAAAUGUUAUUAUUUUAAAUGUUUAUGUACACAAAAAGUGUAUAGUGCUGCUAAUUUUAUUUUUUGGUUUUCAAUAUAAACUUGGUGAAAUGA